Molecule: ribosomal RNA, 259 nt
Filed under: uncultured Glomus
Lineage: Eukaryota; Fungi; Glomeromycota; Glomeromycetes; Glomerales; Glomeraceae
Description: partial 18S ribosomal RNA
Rfam family: Eukaryotic small subunit ribosomal RNA
Source: RNAcentral
AAGCUCGUAGUUGAAUUUCGGGAUCAAUGUUUCGGUCAUGCCGUUGGUAUGUACUGAUAUUAUUGAUUUCUCACCUUCUAAAGAACCGUAAUGCCAUUAAUUUGGUGUCACGGGGAAUUAGGACUGUUACCUUGAAAAAAUUAGAGUGUUUAAAACAGGCUCACGCUUGAAUACAUUAGCAUGGAAUAAUGAAAUAGGACAUCCGAUUCUAUUUUGUUGGUUUCUAGGAUCGAUGUAAUGAUUAAUAGGGAUAGUUGGG